AGUGAACGCUGGCGGUAGGCCUAACACAUGCAAGUCGAACGGCAGCACAGGAGAGCUUGCUCUCUGGGUGGCGAGUGGCGGACGGGUGAGGAAUACAUCGGAAUCUACUCUGUCGUGGGGGAUAACGUAGGGAAACUUACGCUAAUACCGCAUACGACCUACGGGUGAAAGCAGGGGACCUUCGGGCCUUGCGCGAUUGAAUGAGCCGAUGUCGGAUUAGCUAGUUGGCGGGGUAAAGGCCCACCAAGGCGACGAUCCGUAGCUGGUCUGAGAGGGUGAUCAGCCACACUGGAACUGAGACACGGUCCAGGCUCCUACGGGAGGCAGCAGUGGGGAAUAUUGGACAAUGGGCGCAAGCCUGAUCCAGCCAUACCGCGUGGGUGAAGAAGGCCUUCGUGUUGUAAAGCCCUUUUGUUGGGAAAGAAAUCCAGCUGGCUAAUACCCGGUUGGGAUGACGGUACCCAAAGAAUAAGCACCGGCUAACUUCGUGCCAGCCGCCGCCGUAA
RNAcentral lists this ribosomal RNA (506 nucleotides) under uncultured bacterium. Its description in RNAcentral is "partial 16S ribosomal RNA". It matches the Rfam family "Bacterial small subunit ribosomal RNA", at positions 29 to 523 of the family's 1533-position model. The record is from RNAcentral.